Molecule: small RNA, 82 nt
Filed under: Thalassospira sp. HJ
Lineage: Bacteria; Pseudomonadati; Pseudomonadota; Alphaproteobacteria; Rhodospirillales; Thalassospiraceae
Description: Pseudomonas sRNA P9
Rfam family: Pseudomonas sRNA P9
About the family: P9 appears to be conserved in several Pseudomonas species in addition to Bordetella spp. In both Pseudomonas and Bordetella spp P9 appears to be located upstream of a predicted threonine dehydratase gene.
Source: Rfam by way of RNAcentral
CGAAUUUUUACCGCCUCUCAUAGAGUGGCGGGGUAGCGACGUUUUGAGUAAAUGAUACCCACCCGCCGGCGAGGCGGGUUUU